This 495-nucleotide ribosomal RNA is filed under the name uncultured bacterium. Its description in RNAcentral is "partial 16S ribosomal RNA". It matches the Rfam family "Bacterial small subunit ribosomal RNA", at positions 28 to 523 of the family's 1533-position model. The record is from RNAcentral.
GAUGAACGCUAGCGGGAGGCCUAACACAUGCAAGCCGAGCGGUAUUGUUUCUUCGGAAAUGAGAGAGCGGCGUACGGGUGCGGAACACGUGUGCAACCUGCCUUUAUCUGGGGGAUAGCCUUUCGAAAGGAAGAUUAAUACUCCAUAACAUAUUGAACGGCAUCGUUUAAUAUUGAAAGCUCCGGCGGAUAGAGAUGGGCACGCGCAAGAUUAGCUAGUUGGGGAGGUAACGGCUCACCAAGGCGAUGAUCUUUAGGGGGCCUGAGAGGGUGAUCCCCCACACUGGUACUGAGACACGGACCAGACUCCUACGGGAGGCAGCAGUGAGGAAUAUUGGUCAAUGGGUGCAAGCCUGAACCAGCCAUCCCGCGUGAAGGUCGACUGCCCUAUGGGUUGUAAACUUCUUUUGUAUAGGGAUAAACCUACCCUCGUGAGGGUAGCUGAAGGUACUAUACGAAUAAGCACCGGCUAACUCCGUGCCAGCCGCCGCGGUAA